AUGCCGUACGCCGGCGUAUCUGUCAUCUCUGAUGGUAAGCUGCAAUCUGCAUCGGUCGUCGUCUGCGGCGCGGCCAGCGGCUACCGUCUGUUCAUUGUGGAUGGCUACUCACGCAGCAAGGAGAACACGCCCAACGGGAAGAGCAUCAAGUCUAGGCCUUUUAGGGUGGGAGGCUACUGGUGGGUCAUCCUGUACUCGCUCAACGGCGAGCGCUCCCAAGACGAGGGCCACACUUCCAUUACCCUUGCUCUCGACCAGGAUGUUUCGCGCCAUGUCAAGGUGCAGUUCGAGUUCAGUUUCAUCGACCAGAUCGACAAGCAGAAGUCAGCACGCAUUCGCUCAUCCGAAGUAGCCUCUCUUUCGACUGGCACCUCAUGUGGCCACCAUAGGUGGAUGAAGAGCGGGGACUUUGAGGCGUCCAGACAUCUCAGGGAUGACAAUUUCAUCAUCCGGUGCGACUUGUUUGUUGCCACGGCCGUCGGUAGCUUUGCUCCCACCCCGACCAUUGAGGUGCCCAAGCCGGAUGUACUCUGGCAAUUCGGAGAUCUUCUUCAAACCAAGUUGGGCGUGGACGUGACGUUCGAGGUCGGUGGCGAGACGUUCGCCGCGCAUCGGUGUGUGCUUGCAACUCGGUCCUCGGUCUUCAGGGCGCAGCUCUUUGGCUCCAUGAUGGAGGUUACUACUAGUGUCAUACACAUAGAAGAUAUGGCACCAAGUGUGUUCAGGGCCUUGCUAACUUUCAUCUACAAUGACUCGCUGCCCAAGAGGGAGGUUGACAAUAUGGAGGAGGAUGAAGAUGAAGGAGACACGGACGAGGACGAGUCGGAAGAAGAAUAUGAUGAAGAGGACGAACAAGUGACGUGGCUGCAGCACUUGCUCGUAGCGGCGGAUAGGUACGAUCUCCCAAAACUCAAGUUGAUGUGCGAAGACGAGUUGUGUGAGCACCUAGACGUGAGCUCGGUGGCGACUAUUCUUGAUCUAGCCGAGCAGUACCACUGUUGUCGCCUGAAGGAGGCGUGCGUGCAGUUCGUGCGAUUCCUGUCUCCCGCAAAGUUACAUAUCUUAUUGCGUACCAAAGGCUGGAAGCAUAUAGCUAAAACCUAUCCAGAUGUUGUGAACGAGCUCAUAGUAAAGCUUGCUUCCAAAUUCUACUGA
This 1155-nucleotide ribosomal RNA is filed under the name Triticum aestivum (bread wheat). RNAcentral describes it as "partial small subunit ribosomal RNA". The record is from RNAcentral. Lineage: Eukaryota; Viridiplantae; Streptophyta; Magnoliopsida; Poales; Poaceae.